UCCCUGGUGGCUCAGAUGGUAAAGCAUCUGCCCGCAAUGCAGGAGACCCGGGUUCGAUCCCUGGGUUGGGAA
This 72-nucleotide transfer RNA is filed under the name Bos taurus (domestic cattle). It matches the Rfam family "tRNA". Rfam says of the family: Transfer RNA (tRNA) molecules are approximately 80 nucleotides in length. Their secondary structure includes four short double-helical elements and three loops (D, anti-codon, and T loops). RNAcentral also lists the same sequence under 5 other names. Lineage: Eukaryota; Metazoa; Chordata; Mammalia; Artiodactyla; Bovidae. The record is from Rfam by way of RNAcentral.